Molecule: non-coding RNA, 420 nt
Organism: Seriola aureovittata
Lineage: Eukaryota; Metazoa; Chordata; Actinopteri; Carangiformes; Carangidae
Source: the annotation of a RefSeq genome assembly
UGUGUGUGUGUGUGUCAGUGAGAGGACAGAAGAGCUCACAUCACUUCAGCUUCAACAUCAACCAUGUUCUCUGUGGUUCUGAUACAGCUGCUGGCAGCUGGAUCCUGUGUGUACAGUAUUGAUCUCAUCCAGCCAGACUCAGUGGUUGUGCAGCCUGGACAGUCUUUGACCAUCACCUGUCAGGUCUCUGGUUAUUCUCUGACUGAUAACAGCUACGCAACAGGUUGGAUCAGACAGCGUGAAGGAAAACUGGAGUGGAUUGUUCAUCAGUGGGGAGGAGGUACUCUUCGUCAAAACAAUGCUCUGAAGAACAAGUUCAGUUACAGCAGAGACACUUCUGCAAGAGCAGUGACUCUAAAUGGACAGAAUGUGCAGCCUGAAGACACUGCUGUGUAUUAUUGUGCCAGAGAGUCACAAUAA